GCCCGCGUGGCGGAAUUGGCAGACGCGCUAGCUUCAGGUGCUAGUGCCUUCACGGGCGUGCUGGUUCAACUCCAGUCGCGGGCACCA
RNAcentral lists this transfer RNA (87 nucleotides) under Candidatus Saccharimonadota bacterium. RNAcentral describes it as "tRNA-Leu". It matches the Rfam family "tRNA". From Rfam's summary of the family: Transfer RNA (tRNA) molecules are approximately 80 nucleotides in length. Their secondary structure includes four short double-helical elements and three loops (D, anti-codon, and T loops). Further hydrogen bonds mediate the characteristic L-shaped molecular structure. tRNAs have two regions of fundamental functional importance: the anti-codon, which is responsible for specific mRNA codon recognition, and the 3' end, to which the tRNAs corresponding amino acid is attached (by aminoacyl-tRNA synthetases). tRNAs cope with the degeneracy of the genetic code in two manners: having more than one tRNA (with a specific anti-codon) for a particular amino acid; and 'wobble' base-pairing, i.e. permitting non-standard base-pairing at the 3rd anti-codon position. RNAcentral also lists the same sequence under 1 other name. Lineage: Bacteria; Candidatus Saccharimonadota. The record is from RNAcentral.